AACGAACGCUGGCGGCAUGCCUAACACAUGCAAGUCGAACGAGACCUUCGGGUCUAGUGGCGCACGGGUGCGUAACGCGUGGGAACCUGCCCUUAGGUUCGGAAUAACUCCCCGAAAGGGGUGCUAAUACCGGAUAAUGUCUUCGGACCAAAGAUUUAUCGCCUUUGGAUGGGCCCGCGUUGGAUUAGCUAGUUGGUAGGGUAAAAGCCUACCAAGGCGACGAUCCAUAGCUGGUCUGAGAGGAUGAUCAGCCACACUGGGACUGAGACACGGCCCAGACUCCUACGGGAGGCAGCAGUGGGGAAUAUUGGACAAUGGGCGAAAGGCUGAUCCAGCAAUGCCGCGUGAGUGAUGAAGGCCUUAGGGUUGUAAAGCUCUUUUACCCGGGAUGAUAAUGACAGUACCGGGAGAAUAAGCUCCGGCUAACCCCGUG
RNAcentral lists this ribosomal RNA (433 nucleotides) under uncultured bacterium. Its description in RNAcentral is "partial 16S ribosomal RNA". It matches the Rfam family "Bacterial small subunit ribosomal RNA", at positions 29 to 507 of the family's 1533-position model. The record is from RNAcentral.